UCUCAWCUCAGCCCAAUCAGCACUGCGUUUGUUGUGAAGUUUCUCAGAGCGAGAGAUUUUGAUGUCGAUGAUGCAGUAGAACUGUACCACAAGUACAUGAUGCAGAGAAAGUUGUAUUUCGUAAGUGAUUUCUCGCCAUCAAGACCUCCCUUGAAGGAAGAACUUUUUUCUGGAAGGUUUACAAUGCUUAACAAGCGUAACGACAAAGGAGCAGUCAUUGGUGUUUUCACGGCUCAACGAAAUUCCCGUGAACGAAAACACAACGUUGUGUUGACGAGUAUUUACUUACAACUAAACGAGGCACU
Molecule: long non-coding RNA, 305 nt
Organism: Exaiptasia diaphana
Lineage: Eukaryota; Metazoa; Cnidaria; Anthozoa; Actiniaria; Aiptasiidae
Source: RefSeq, a predicted model, not a curated record